CAUAGCCUACUAUUUAACUUAGGUACAACCCUGCCCUCUGACUUUUAACAGCCGCGGUAUCCUAACCGUGCUAAGGUAGCAUAAUCACUUGCCUAUUAAUUAUAGGCUAGAAUGAACGGGAUCACUCACUUAAACUUAUUUUUAUUUAAAUUUAAAUUAAACUUUAAGUCAAAAUACUAAAUUAAAAAGAAAGACAAAAAGACCCUGAAAACUAUUAGAAAUAAUUAGUUGGGGCAACUAUAGACCACUCUAGCGUCUAUUUUUUUUUAAACUCUUAAAAUCUAAAGUAUCCAGUUACUUCAGGGAUAACAGACUAAUUUUAUUAUUUAGACCCAAUAAAUAAUAAAGAUUGGCACCUCGAUGUUGGCUUAUAUUUCCUUCAUAUAGCAACAUAUAUAGAAGGCAGCUUGUUCAUCUGUUAAAUAUUUACAUGAGCUGAGUU
This 442-nucleotide ribosomal RNA is filed under the name Stygocapitella sp. 401_06. Its description in RNAcentral is "partial large subunit ribosomal RNA". It matches the Rfam family "Bacterial large subunit ribosomal RNA", at positions 1891 to 2611 of the family's 2925-position model. Lineage: Eukaryota; Metazoa; Annelida; Polychaeta; Parergodrilidae. The record is from RNAcentral.